AUGGUUGUAGUUAAAUGGUAGAACGACUGUAUGUGAAACAGUAUA
Molecule: transfer RNA, 45 nt
Filed under: Leptogium corticola
Lineage: Eukaryota; Fungi; Ascomycota; Lecanoromycetes; Peltigerales; Collemataceae
Description: tRNA-His
Source: RNAcentral